Molecule: ribosomal RNA, 136 nt
Filed under: Aloe vera (aloe-vera)
Lineage: Eukaryota; Viridiplantae; Streptophyta; Magnoliopsida; Asparagales; Asphodelaceae
Description: partial 5.8S ribosomal RNA
Source: RNAcentral
CAUCGAGUUUUUGAACGCAAGUUGCGCCCGAGGCCACCCGGCCGAGGGCACGCCUGCCUGGGCGUCACGCCUCGCGUCGCUCUGCCUACCUUGCCCUGAGCACCCCGUGCUCUUACGGCUGCGGGCGGCGGAUGCG